GAGACGCUUCGCCACAUCCGCCGCAAGACGGAGCCGGAAAGCCGCGGGUCUUGCUAUGCCGAGACAGCCGGGCCGCCUCU
RNAcentral lists this non-coding RNA (80 nucleotides) under Methylomonas sp. RNAcentral's name for it is "c-di-GMP sequence". It matches the Rfam family "c-di-GMP-I riboswitch aptamer". Rfam says of the family: GEMM was predicted in a large-scale screen for bacterial structured RNA regulatory elements. Genes associated with GEMM are involved in a diverse array of functions, including chemotaxis regulation, signal transduction, secretion and chitin. Lineage: Bacteria; Pseudomonadati; Pseudomonadota; Gammaproteobacteria; Methylococcales; Methylococcaceae. The record is from RNAcentral. RNAcentral also lists the same sequence under 1 other name.